This 356-nucleotide long non-coding RNA is filed under the name Anser brachyrhynchus (Pink-footed goose). Its description in RNAcentral is "lncRNA (ENSABRG00000016617.1)". Lineage: Eukaryota; Metazoa; Chordata; Aves; Anseriformes; Anatidae. The record is from RNAcentral.
AAAAAAAGUCUUCUUAAACAGCAGUUGAAUCAUUUCCUUUCAGAAGAUAUGAAGAAAGACACAAUAAAUAAACAAAUGUUGAUUUGGAGAAAUAUCAACAAAGGAAGACAGCAAUUUUAUGAAAGAGCUUACUAGGAGUGUUUAUCAUCAGCACUAUUCUCUAUGACAUCAGUUGAUUCUUGGAGGAGAAAUGGGAGAAAUGUCAUCUUACAUAUUAAUGUUAUGAUUGUGAUCCACCGAAACAUGGCCUGUGGUAUUCACACUAGUGUGGAGUGGUAUCACCUCCUGCUGGCACAACUAUCUUUGUCUUGACUUACCCAUAAGAGCCUCCUCAGAAAAGGAAAAGUCUCAAUGCA